CCUACGGGUGGCAGCAGUGGGGAAUAUUGGGCAAUGGGCGCAAGCCUGACCCAGCAACGCCGCGUGAAGGAAGAAGGCUUUCGGGUUGUAAACUUCUUUUCUUAGGGACGAAGAAAGUGACGGUACCUCAGGAAUAAGCCACGGCUAACUACGUGACAGCAGCCGCGGUAAUACGUAGGUGGCAAGCGUUAUCCGGAUUUAUUGGGUGUAAAGGGUGCGUAGGCGGAUUUUUAAGUCAGCGGUAAAAUGUCCGGGCUCCACCCGGGCCGGCCGUUGAAACUGGGGAUCUUGAGUGGGCGAGAAGUAUGCGGAAUGCGUGGUGUAGCGGUGAAAUGCAUAGAUAGCACGCAGAACUCUGAUUGAGAAGGCAGCAUACCGGCGCCCGACUGACGCUGAGGCACGAAAGCGUGGGGAUCGAACAGGAUUAGAUACCCCGGUAGUC
This 442-nucleotide ribosomal RNA is filed under the name uncultured bacterium. RNAcentral's name for it is "partial 16S ribosomal RNA". It matches the Rfam family "Bacterial small subunit ribosomal RNA", at positions 338 to 795 of the family's 1533-position model. The record is from RNAcentral.